This 440-nucleotide ribosomal RNA is filed under the name uncultured organism. RNAcentral describes it as "bacterial SSU rRNA". It matches the Rfam family "Bacterial small subunit ribosomal RNA", at positions 338 to 795 of the family's 1533-position model. The record is from RNAcentral.
CCUACGGGAGGCAGCAGUGGGGAAUAUUGGACAAUGGGGGCAACCCUGAUCCAGCCAUGCCGCGUGAGUGAUGAAGGCCUUCGGGUUGUAAAGCUCUUUUGGCGGGGACGAUGAUGACGGUACCCGCAGAAUAAGCCCCGGCUAACUUCGUGCCAGCAGCCGCGGUAAGACGAAGGGGGCUAGCGUUGUUCGGAAUUACUGGGCGUAAAGCGAGUGUAGGCGGUUAUCCAAGUUGGAUGUGAAAGCCUUGAGCUCAACUCAAGAAAUGCAUUCAGGACUGGGUGACUAGAGUACCGGAGAGGAUAGUGGAAUUCCCAGUGUAGUGGUGAAAUACGUAGAGAUUGGGAAGAACACCAGUGGCGAAGGCGGCUAUCUGGACGGUUACUGACGCUAAGACUCGAAAGCGUGGGGAGCAAACAGGAUUAGAUACCCCAGUAGUC